Molecule: long non-coding RNA, 354 nt
Filed under: Solanum tuberosum (potato)
Lineage: Eukaryota; Viridiplantae; Streptophyta; Magnoliopsida; Solanales; Solanaceae
Description: long non-coding RNA (STUB_LNC002774)
Source: RNAcentral
UCCCUCAUUCCUUAAUGUGCUUUGAUAUGACUAUGUGUUUUCUUUGAAUAACUUUAUGAUUCUACCCAUAUAAUUGACCUUCUUAUAUAAUAUUUGCUUUUGUUAUAUUUAUAUGUAUUUGUAGUAUUCCUUUCUUGUGGUUUAGCAGGGUUGAACUAGAAGUUCAAGGUAUGAAGAGUCGUCAUGGAAGGGAAAAUAAUAGACGAUGAAUUUAUUUAAUUCGUGUUUUGUAUAUUAUCUAAUUUCUGUUAUUCGGUUUGUAAUAUUUGUAUAACUCUAACUCUAGUAUAUAUGUGAAAUAUUUGGGGAUCGUCUAAAGGGGAGGGGAUUUAUGUGCUACUUGUUUAUUUUAUC